Molecule: ribosomal RNA, 269 nt
Filed under: uncultured prokaryote
Description: partial 16S ribosomal RNA
Rfam family: Bacterial small subunit ribosomal RNA
Source: RNAcentral
UACGUAGGUGGCAAGCGUUGUCCGGAUUUAUUGGGCGUAAAGCGAGCGCAGGCGGUUCCUUAAGUCUGAUGUGAAAGCCCACGGCUCAACCGUGGAAGGUCAUUGGAAACUGGGGAACUUGAGUGCAGAAGAGGAGAGUGGAAUUCCAUGUGUAGCGGUGAAAUGCGUAGAUAUAUGGAGGAACACCGGUGGCGAAGGCGACUCUCUGGUCUGUAACUGACGCUGAGGCUCGAAAGCGUGGGGAGCAAACAGGAUUAGAUACCCGGGUA